This is a long non-coding RNA of Carya illinoinensis, 565 nucleotides long. RefSeq lists it as uncharacterized. The transcript has 2 exons. NCBI's taxonomy places the organism in Eukaryota, Viridiplantae, Streptophyta, Magnoliopsida, Fagales, Juglandaceae. The record is from RefSeq and is a predicted model, not a curated record.
CAUGUUAAUUAAAUGUUCGUACUAUGUGCAGGGAGAAGUUGCACAAGCGAGAUGUGAAUUUUUCAUAUGGGCAGAUAUACUUCAUUUGAUAAAGGAGAACAUUCAUAGAAGAGACAAUGCAGUUCGGAAGACGUGGGAUGAUAUAUUUUUGUCUGGGCUUUUGCUUCUCUAGGAGGGUUUGGGCAUUUUAAAACUGUUGAAGGAGGACAAGAAGUUGUAAACCAAGCAGAGAUGGAUGCCAUAUUCUCAUAGUAAAUAAUUGGCUCUAAUUCUCAGUGCACAAACAUUAGAAGAUGCAAGCUUGCUCAGUUGAUUAUUUGGAGUCUUGUUGUUUAUAGUUUUGGAUUUCAAGUUUGCUCAAGUUGAUGUAUUUGAUCUUGCUCAGUUGAUGAUUUGAAUCUUUUAUGAUGUAUUCUCAAAUCAGUUCAUCCGUUGUAUAGUUUUGGAUUUCGAGUUUUUGAUGAUGUAUUCUCAUACUUGUUAUAGUUUUGGACUUCGAGCUUUUAAUGAAGAACUGAACUGCAAUUUUUACUAUUGGCAUUUUUUGAAUUUGCUUCUGAAGUUA